CUCCUCUUCUCUCUCCUGUCCAAUUUUCAGCUGAUUAGCCAUGAAGUUCAUCGUCUUAGCCAUUUUGGUCGUAAUUGCUGUGGGGGUGACGAAAUCUGAAUUUUCCGCCGAAUUUUCCGGGGAAGCCUCUGUAGCCUUGGACCAUGGUGCUAAGCAAGUACGGGAAAAAAGAGCCCCCCAUCGAUUUUCCCCCUAUGAAGGAAGAUACAGUGGAGGAUACGUUGGGCGUGGCUGGUACGAUAUCGACUACGCUAGGAUGGGAUGAUGACGUCAAUAGCUCCUCUCUCAACAGAAUUAAUUAAAAUUGAUCAAUUUCAAGAGAUACGCAUUAUGCAUGAACAAGAAGAUAAUUAGGCAAAUCAAUCAGCAUGGUCAUCAUUCUAAUAAAAUAUAUUUUGUUCA
Folsomia candida is the source of this 402-nucleotide long non-coding RNA. RefSeq lists it as uncharacterized. The record is from RefSeq and is a predicted model, not a curated record. The transcript has 2 exons. Lineage: Eukaryota; Metazoa; Arthropoda; Collembola; Entomobryomorpha; Isotomidae.